GUGUUGGCAGACCGCAGCUGUGAGAGCGUGAGAGAGGCACCAGGGUGUGAGACAGAGCAAGCACGACCACUGUUGACUGCUACAGGAACUACGAACUUUGCCCUGCUCUGUAAAAGCGGAGGCAAUUUUGUGUUGAAAAUGGUGUGACUGAUCGUCAACGCAUGCAGGUACGUGGCGCGGAAGAUCAGGGCUGCCGGGGGAGGGGAAGUGCAGCCCGAGAAGCCCACGAAGGCUGCAUGUGGCUCAGCGAAAGCACGGAAAGGAGGGGGGGCGGGGGGCAAGCGGCAGACCUCAGGUUCUGGGUUUGAACCUGUACCGAAGGGAGGUGCCCCAGACACACAGGUGGAGCAGUGCGGGUCCUGAGGGUAGCUUGAGGACAACUUACAGAAGAGGGGUGAACAGAGUCCACCAAUCGCCAUGAGAGAGGAGUAGCCUGAACUGAUUCCCCCAGCACAACAGCCCCUCAGUCUGCCCUUGUGUGAGAGAGCAUCUCUUUCAGUGCUUGUUUCCAUGCAUUUAAAACACACAUCAAAAUGCACACGACAUAAUCACUUCCAUUAAUAUUAAAAUACAAUCCUACGCACACAGUCUCCAUCAUCUGUUUCUCUUUCCCUCUUUCUCGCACACUGAUGCAACAUGCAUUCUCUCUCUUCCACACAAACACACACGCACGGACCAUACACCCCCUCUUUCUUGAAAAACGCGAUCACUUCCUCUGCUGGUAUGCCCUCAGCUCUUCCUCAGACUCGUUUUUAUAAGGACCAGACUCACGAUGAGGACUUGCGGCAGCAGGACGAGUGAAGGCCUGGCCAUCAAUUCCCUGCACUGGGAAAUGCCCAGGCCUGAUGACAGCCCGUUGGGUUCUUGCUGUUGGUGCCAUCCUCAUAUAUUUCAUGUUUUUUAAGCAACAUUAAUAAACAAGAUCUUAUCCCAA
Long non-coding RNA from Megalops cyprinoides (Indo-Pacific tarpon), 934 nucleotides. RefSeq lists it as uncharacterized. Lineage: Eukaryota; Metazoa; Chordata; Actinopteri; Elopiformes; Megalopidae. The transcript is spliced from 3 exons. The record is from RefSeq and is a predicted model, not a curated record.